Molecule: long non-coding RNA, 315 nt
Filed under: Panax ginseng (ginseng)
Lineage: Eukaryota; Viridiplantae; Streptophyta; Magnoliopsida; Apiales; Araliaceae
Description: long non-coding RNA (PGIN_LNC003498)
Source: RNAcentral
CGUCAUUAGCACUUUCUCGUCGUGCUCUGACUCAAAAUCCGCCUCUGUAGAUUCCUUCGCCUCAUAUAGGGCGGUAAUCUCCUCGUUCUGUGUCUGCACCACAGUGCGCAGAUGCACAUUCCUAUCCAACAUUGCCAGGUACAAUGAUCUGAUUUCAUCCGGAGGUGUUGACUCCCGAGUAGGUACCACCGUAUUAAUCGUUGUUACCUCCAUCUCCUCCUCCACAUCUAUCAUCAUAUUCAGAUAUGAUGCUAUUCCCAUUGUUUCCUCAGAGUACUCCUCCUCAGAAAUGUACUCUUCUGGAUCAGAGUCUUC